This 504-nucleotide ribosomal RNA is filed under the name uncultured bacterium. Its description in RNAcentral is "bacterial SSU rRNA". It matches the Rfam family "Bacterial small subunit ribosomal RNA", at positions 24 to 518 of the family's 1533-position model. The record is from RNAcentral.
UCAGGAUGAACGCUAGCUACAGGCUUAACACAUGCAAGUCGAGGGGCAUCAUGGAGUUGCUUGCAAACUCUGAUGGCGACCGGCGCACGGGUGAGUAACGCGUAUCCAACCUUCCCUAUAGUAGAGGAUAGCCCGGCGAAAGUCGGAUUAAUACUCUAUGUUUUCCGUUACAGACAUCUAAGAUGGAACAAAGGCUUGCCGCUAUAGGAUGGGGAUGCGUCUGAUUAGGUAGUCGGCGGGGUAACGGCCCACCGAGCCAUCGAUCAGUAGGGGUUCUGAGAGGAAGGUCCCCCACAUUGGAACUGAGACACGGUCCAAACUCCUACGGGAGGCAGCAGUGAGGAAUAUUGGUCAAUGGGCGCGAGCCUGAACCAGCCAAGUAGCGUGCAGGAUGACGGCCCUAUGGGUUGUAAACUGCUUUUAUGCGGGGAUAAAGUUCACUACGUGUAGUGUUUUGUAGGUACCGCAUGAAUAAGGACCGGCUAAUUCCGUGCCAGCCGCAGC